AAAACAAAAUCUACUAGCCAACGAACCGGCUCCGCACAGUAGCAUAAAUCGACUUGUUUUGAAAUCAAACUCAUCAUUUGUGUUCCAGCAUUCAGAAUGGGCCGAGUCUUUGCGUUAUCUCUUGCACUGCUGCGGCUGCUACUGCUCGUGACUACUGCCACUGCCGAAGAUGAUGCCGAUCUGGAUGUUUCCAUCGAUAGCUUGCUCACAACUGUACCUCCAGCUGCAGUAGGCUCACAGGGAUCCUGUCAGCAAGGUCAACGAUGUGUCCAGAAAUAUCUCUGCACGAAUGAUUCUACAAGUGGAGCAGGACUUAUUGACAUUCGCUUCAGUGAGAGCAAUCCUUGUGUGGAUUACUUGCUACAGUGCUGCUAUGAAGAAGAUAUUAUCGCCGAACUGCCGAGUGCUUCAACUGUCGAACCACCAAACGUGGAUCACCCUGUCUGUGGAAAACGAAACACCAUAGGAAUUGGCUUCCGAAUCACGGGAGCUAAUAACAGUGAAUCCGAGUACGGAGAAUUCCCGUGGAUGGUUGCGGUAUUUAGACAAGUGCAUGUCCUAGAUCAGGUGGUAAACGUGUACCUUUGUGGUGGAUCCUUAAUUCAUCCCGGUGUAGUACUGACUGCGGUUCAUUGUGUUCAGCAUCAAGCUCCUGAUCAGUUGAGAAUCCGUGCAGGCGAGUGGGAUACUCAAACUGAGAAUGAAAUCCAUCCUUAUCAGGAUCGCCAAGUGGUUGAGAUUGUUGCCCAUCCAGACUUCCACAAAGGAGGACUGUUCAAUGACAUUGCGUUGAUAGUUUUGGAAGCACCUGUCGUUCUUAGUGAAGUAGUUCAAACCGUUUGCUUGCCUCCACCGAAUGAAAGAUUCGAUCUCCAGAGAUGUUUCGUUUCCGGCUGGGGGAAGGACGUAUUCGGCAAGACAGGCGCAUAUCAGGCCAUAUUGAAGAAAAUCGAUUUGCCUAUCGUACCGCAUUCCGAGUGUCAGGCCACGUUAAGGUUAAUCCGUUCGCAGCCUAGAUUUACCUUGCAUGACAGCUUUGUCUGCGCCGGUGGAGAAGUUGGCAAAGAUGCUUGUCAAGGCGACGGUGGAUCCCCUCUCGUGUGUCCCAUUCAGGGUUCCAACGAGUUCUACCAUCAGGUUGGCAUUGUCUCGUGGGGUGUUGGAUGCGGUGGUGGAAUCCCAGGGCUGUACGCGGAUGUGUCUCUCUUCCGGCAUUGGAUCGAUCAGGAAAUGCAAAAUCGAGUUUUGGACACCAGUAGCUAUAGUGUUUCGUGAUGCGAUUACGACCUCUAAUGUGUUCUUGUUUGAUGCUACACGGUCGAAUAAUGUUACUCAGUGGCUGAUUUAUGAACAGUCCCUAACUCUUUUUCUCUCCCAUAAAAAGUGGGAAGAUGAGUCCCCCAGUUUAUAAAAAAAAUCCUAU
This is an RNA transcript of Ochlerotatus camptorhynchus, 1423 nucleotides long. It is a transcript of the gene named phenoloxidase-activating factor 2-like, with no coding region annotated. The record is from RefSeq and is a predicted model, not a curated record. NCBI's taxonomy places the organism in Eukaryota, Metazoa, Arthropoda, Insecta, Diptera, Culicidae. The transcript has 5 exons.